RNAcentral lists this long non-coding RNA (962 nucleotides) under Mytilus galloprovincialis (Mediterranean mussel). Lineage: Eukaryota; Metazoa; Mollusca; Bivalvia; Mytilida; Mytilidae. The record is from RNAcentral.
CGCAGUAGUCUGGUGUUCUGAAUGUGACGAAGGACUUUGCGAAGAUUGUAAGGAACAUCACAGUAUUUCCAAGGAUGGUAAAAACCACGGAACAUAUUCAAUCACCAAGCAUAAAAAGUUACCGAGUGAAAUUCUGCAAACUGCACAAGUCUGUAAAAUACAUAAUGAAGAAUACAAGUUUUUUCGUACAAAACAUGAUUGUCCGUGCUGUAAGAAAUGUGUGAAAUCUCACAAAGACUGUAAAGCUUUAACCGACAUCAAUGAAAUCAUACAAUGAGGUCAAAACAUCGAAUGCCUUUCGUGAAAUCGAACAAACCCUGCACGAACGAAGUCGUUAGGAAUAUGAAAAUUCUCAGCACAAACAGAAAAGAUAAUUUAGAAUCGAUAGAAAACAAGAGAAGACAAAUUGAAGUAGAAAUAACACAAGCCAGGACAAAGGUAAAUAAUCACCUCGAUCAACUUCAGGAUGGUUUGAUAAAAGAAUUAAUGGCAGUUCAACAACAAGAAAGUAGUAAAAUACAAAAUAUUUUGACUUUUCUCGACAGUAAAGAAAAAGAGAUCACUGAAUUGCAGGUAUUCUUUGAUAAUAUUAAACAGAAAGCGUCGGAUCUUCAAGCAUUUUUAACCAUGAAAGAAAUUGAAAAGGGUUUGGCAGAUGAAGAAAAAAAUAUUCAAUCGAUUGCCAAUAGUGGCAUCACCAAUAAAGUCAAUAUAGUAUGCCAAAUUAACCAGCUUCUGCAGCAAAUCACCUCCGAUGUUUCGAAGUUUGGAGAUAUCAAUGUCAGUUCUGAUUCAUGUCAGUUGUUUAUUCACAAACGGAAAGUCAGACAAGCCCAGAUUAUGUUAGCUGUUCCAACAAGAAAUAUCAGUAAUUUGAUUUUGACGUUACAGAAACAUAUCGAUACAAAGUUAUCAGAUGUCCAAGGUUGUUCUCUGCUACCUUAAGGUAGGAUGGUAUUCUC